Columba livia (rock pigeon) is the source of this 1531-nucleotide long non-coding RNA. RefSeq lists it as uncharacterized. The transcript is spliced from 5 exons. Lineage: Eukaryota; Metazoa; Chordata; Aves; Columbiformes; Columbidae. The record is from RefSeq and is a predicted model, not a curated record.
UGUGGGUAAUGGAGAGAAGAUUCAUCUAAGACAGCAUGCACAUGAAAUGGUUUUUGUGAGGCUUUCUGUAAUCUGUUAGUUUUUCCAUGGUCUGAAGCUUCUGCUCAACUGAGAAAACUGGAAAGUUCAGAGGAAGCUUAUUGUAAUAUGGCUUUCACAAGUUGAAAACACCUGUGUUUUCUCCUCUGGUCCCUGACACCUGGGAAGGAGAUAAAGAUGGUCAGCCUAUGCAUCUGCUUCCAGAACAAUCUAGAAGGUCUCUGAGGUGGCAGGACACCACUGGUAGACUGCUACAAGUUUCUUAACAAGAAACUGGGAAUGAGACAAGUGUUUGUGUAGAAACCAGAUUACACUGGCACCAAGCACCAACUAAAACAAGGUCUAAACAUGGGUAUUAGCAAGUUUUACACCAUGUGAAGACUCACCCUCCACAUUGUAAUGCUGAUGAAGGCUGAUCAUAUUUCCCUACUGCAAUUUCAACAACUGUAAGAACGAUGUAAUAAUUAUAGUAUUGACUUGUGUACCUUAAAGGGAUUUUGAGGGGAUCAGUAGUGUUUGUAAUGUGCUCUGAAAUUGAUGCUUUAAGGGCUGUUAGAAAGCUGCCUUUCUGAUAGCCUGACAUAUUUUCAGACAGUAGCACUGCAGCUGUGUUAAGCCAUUGAGCAAGCUAACCCAUAUAAAACAUCUAAAUAAUAAAAUUCACCAAAAAUAACUUCAAAAGCACCUCUUCAUUUGGUGAUGCACUGAGAAAUGGAGAUCCAUUUUAUGUGACUAAAUACAUCAUUCAUCAGUCUGGACUUCAGCUGGAACGUACUAGUAAAGAGCUGAGAGAUAUCAGCCUCACUGCUGUAUCAGUGCUGAAUGCUGCUAUGCACAGUGACAGUAGUGCUGAGAGCCUGGCAACUUCUCUUCAUAAAAUGGUGGGCCUCAUUCAGCUCUUUCUUACAUCUGUGUAAAUCCAUGGUAGCACUAUGAAAAUGAAGGCAGUCUUUUGCAUCAGUGUGACUGAGUUAUGGCCCAGAUCCUUGAAGGAGCUUGGCAGAUCUAAAACAAACUUCGCAGAGAUUAGACAAUAAUUUAAGUGUCCAGGUUCAUGGCUAGUGAGUAACUGCCCUGUCAUGAGGAGGAGAAUUCAUGAUAUUCAACACUGUACCAGAUGACUGAGUUUGCAGUUACCAGGAAACACCUACUAUACACCCUUGUCCAGCAGCCUCAAAAUUCUUCUGUCCCUGUAGUCAUGAUACUUUAUAAUGUCAAAAUUUGCCUGUAGUUCACAUCAAAGUGAAAAAAAAACUUUAGUUUGCUUUAGUUAUUUUAAGUUCAUCUGACAACUCAGAGGCUACACAGAGUUGUUCGGGAAUGAUUCAAAUAUAAUGUUUCACUUUUAUUGCUCUUUUAAAUUAUUCUAAAAUACAGUUAAAUACUAUAGAUGCAAUAUUACUCUGAAUAUAAAAAUGCAGUAGAAAAUAAAUAAAAAUAAAUCUUUCACAGUUUUUUUGUUGUAGCUACUCUGAGUUGAACUAUCAGGUAA